AAUAAACGCUGGCGGCGUGCCUAACACAUGCAAGUCGAGCGAGAAAGCUCCUUCGGGAGUUAGUAAAGCGGCGAACGGGUGAGCAACACGUGAGAAUCUACCCUUUAGUGAAGAAUACCCUCGAGAAAUCGAGGCUAAUACUGCAUACGUCCCUUCGGGGAGAAAGAUGGCCUCUUUGCUAUCGCUAAAGGAUGAGCUUGCGUACUAUUAGCUAGUUGGCGGGGUAAAGGCCCACCAAGGCAAUGAUGGUUAACCGGCCUGAGAGGGUGUACGGUCACACUGGAACUUAGACACGGUCCAGACUCCUACGGGAGGCAGCAGUGAGGAAUCUUGCGCAAUGGGCGAAAGCCUGACGCAGCGACGCCGCGUGGAGGAUGACGGUUUUCGGAUUGUAAACUCCUGUUAAGCGGGAAGAAAGCCUUGUUUCUAAUACAAGCAAGGUAUGACGGUACCGCUAGAGAAGCACCGGCUAACUUCGUGCCAGCAGCCG
This 490-nucleotide ribosomal RNA is filed under the name uncultured bacterium. RNAcentral describes it as "bacterial SSU rRNA". It matches the Rfam family "Bacterial small subunit ribosomal RNA", at positions 29 to 517 of the family's 1533-position model. The record is from RNAcentral.